Struthio camelus australis is the source of this 519-nucleotide non-coding RNA. Lineage: Eukaryota; Metazoa; Chordata; Aves; Struthioniformes; Struthionidae. The record is from the annotation of a RefSeq genome assembly.
AUGUCGGAGAGCUCCGAGCUCUACUCGGUGGGCUGCUUGGCCAUGGAUUUCCUCCCGGAGGAGCUCACCUUCUCCUGGACCAACUACGUCAACGACAGCAUCUCCAGCGGCGUCUCCGCCUUCCCCUCGGUGCUGGCCGUCGAGCGGCCGCCGGACACCGACAUCGUGGUGAAGGCGAUCCCCCCGGCCUUCGCCGACAUCUUCAUCGACAAGGUGGCCAAGCUGACCUGCCGAGUGAGCAACCUGCCCAGCGUGGAGGGCCUGGCCAUCGCCUGGAGGAAGGAGACGGGCCAAGAGCUGGAGACCAGGACCUUGCCCCAGGUGCUGCAACCCAACGGGCUCUACAGCGUGGACGGCGUGGCCAGCGUCUGCGCCGACGAGUGGGACAAGGGCGAGGUCUACGUGUGCAGGGUGAGCCACCCUGACCUGCUCUUCCCCGUCGAGGAAAAGCUGCAGAGGAAGGCUGGUAAGCUUCGCCCCUCCUCGCCCCGGCUCCAAAAACUGGGGGGGUGGCAUUGA